CGAAACAUCUGGCUGAUGAAUUUUGGAGGCGAUGGAUCAAGGAAUACCUUCCGGUGAUUGCGAGACGCUGCAAAUGGUUCGAUAACGUGAAGGACUUCAAGGAGGGAGAUUUGGUGUUAGUAGUGGAUAGCUCAGUGAGAAGUCAGUGGACCAGGGGUCGAAUUGAAAGAGUGCUUGUAGGAGCUGAUGGACGUGUGCGGCAAGCAUGGGUGCGGACGAGUAGCGGAGUCGAUCGCAGGUCGGUGGCUAAUCUGGCGUUGCUCGACGUCAUGAAGGAUGGUGACCCCAACCAAAAGGAUGGUAGCGGCUCACGGGUGGGGGAGUGUGACGACGUUAACCUCCCCACGAUGGAGAUGACCUAAUUUGAACGUAGCCUAUUCUUUUCACUGGGUCUGUCAUGAACAAUAGUUGUAUCGAUAUCAGUGACAGAAACAUCAACAAACCAAAUAGCCAGCUAGUUACACGUGCAUUGGAGCAACUUUAUUAUUUUUUCCAAUUAUUCUGUGCUAAUUUGAAUACUACAUUAUAUAAAUCCUACCUAGAAUAAAUAAUUACGCGUGGAUUAUAUAACCCAAAAUUAAGAAAACCUAUAGGGACGAAUUUUGUUUGGUGAAAGGUUACUGAAAUUUUCUAAAGCGUAUCCUCAAAAACAAUUGUGUUUGGGACUGCUAUAAGAACUUCGGUGACAACA
Aedes albopictus (Asian tiger mosquito) is the source of this 691-nucleotide long non-coding RNA. RefSeq lists it as uncharacterized. Lineage: Eukaryota; Metazoa; Arthropoda; Insecta; Diptera; Culicidae. The transcript is spliced from 3 exons. The record is from RefSeq and is a predicted model, not a curated record.